RNAcentral lists this ribosomal RNA (254 nucleotides) under uncultured bacterium. RNAcentral describes it as "partial 16S ribosomal RNA". It matches the Rfam family "Bacterial small subunit ribosomal RNA", at positions 524 to 776 of the family's 1533-position model. The record is from RNAcentral.
UACGGGGGGGGGCAAGCGUUGUUCGGAAUUACUGGGCGUAAAGGGCUCGUAGGCGGCCAACUAAGUCGGAUGUGAAAUCCCCAGGCUCAACUUGGGAACUGCAUCCGAUACUGGAUGGCUUGAAUCCGGGAGAGGGAUGCAGAAUUCCAGGUGUAGCGGUGAAAUGCGUAGAUAUCUGGAGGAAUACCGGUGGCGAAGGCGGCAUCCUGGACCGGCAUUGACGCUGAUGAGCGAAAGCUAGGGGAGCAAACGGG